This 735-nucleotide ribosomal RNA is filed under the name uncultured Fusobacterium sp. RNAcentral's name for it is "bacterial SSU rRNA". It matches the Rfam family "Bacterial small subunit ribosomal RNA", at positions 28 to 776 of the family's 1533-position model. Lineage: Bacteria; Fusobacteriati; Fusobacteriota; Fusobacteriia; Fusobacteriales; Fusobacteriaceae. The record is from RNAcentral.
GAUGAACGCUGACAGAAUGCUUAACACAUGCAAGUCAACUUGAAUUUGGGUUUUUAACUUAGAUUUGGGUGGCGGACGGGUGAGUAACGCGUAAAGAACUUGCCUCACGGCUAGGGACAACAUUUAGAAAUGAAUGCUAAUACCUGAUAUUAUGAUUUUAAGGCAUCUUAGAAUUAUGAAAGCUAUAAGCACUGUGAGAGAGCUUUGCGUCCCAUUAGCUAGUUGGAGAGGUAACAGCUCACCAAGGCGAUGAUGGGUAGCCGGCCUGAGAGGGUGAACGGCCACAAGGGGACUGAGACACGGCCCUUACUCCUACGGGAGGCAGCAGUGGGGAAUAUUGGACAAUGGACCGAGAGUCUGAUCCAGCAAUUCUGUGUGCACGAUGAAGUUUUUCGGAAUGUAAAGUGCUUUCAGUUGGGAAGAAACAAAUGACGGUACCAACAGAAGAAGUGACGGCUAAAUACGUGCCAGCAGCCGCGGUAAUACGUAUGUCACGAGCGUUAUCCGGAUUUAUUGGGCGUAAAGCGCGUCUAGGUGGUUAUGUAAGUCUGAUGUGAAAAUGCAGGGCUCAACUCUGUAUUGCGUUGGAAACUGUAUAACUAGAGUACUGGAGAGGUAAGCGGAACUACAAGUGUAGAGGUGAAAUUCGUAGAUAUUUGUAGGAAUGCCGAUGGGGAAGCCAGCUUACUGGACAGAUACUGACGCUAAAGCGCGAAAGCGUGGGGAGCAAACAGG